GCCUCGUUUAUUUGGGUAAUUUCUAAGAAAGAUCAGAUAUUCAAGCGUCAAGCGGGAUAUGUUAAAAGUGAAGAAGUAUCUACAAUGAGAAGCUAUUUAAUUGGUUUUUUUUGUAGUAUCUUUUAAAAUUUGGUAAGAUUAAUAUGGUACAACCAACUAACAAAGAUGGGGUUAUCAACUUACAUUUUUAAUUUUCAUAUGCUUUUAC
This 208-nucleotide long non-coding RNA is filed under the name Mytilus galloprovincialis (Mediterranean mussel). The record is from RNAcentral. Lineage: Eukaryota; Metazoa; Mollusca; Bivalvia; Mytilida; Mytilidae.